This 322-nucleotide ribosomal RNA is filed under the name uncultured eukaryote. RNAcentral describes it as "partial 18S ribosomal RNA". It matches the Rfam family "Eukaryotic small subunit ribosomal RNA", at positions 1470 to 1796 of the family's 1831-position model. The record is from RNAcentral.
CCCUUAGAUGUUCUGGGCCGCACGCGUGCUACACUGAGUAAAUCAAUGGGUAAGGGAACACGAAAGUGCAACCUAAUCUUGAAAUUUGCUCGUGAUGGGGAUUGACGGUUGCAAUUUUCUGUCAUGAACGAGGAAUACCUUGUAAGCGCGGGUCAUCAUCCCGCGCUGAAUACGUCCCUGCCCUUUGUACACACCGCCCGUCGCUCCUACCGAUUGAGUGGUCCGGUGAGGCUUUGGGAUCUGAGCGGAAAGAGCGUUUCGCUGUUUCUGCUCGGAAAACUCAGUCGAACCUUAUCAUUUAGAGGAAGGAGAAGUCGUAACA